GUUUUUAUAGAGUUUGGGGACCUGCUCAGGACGAACGCUGGCGGCGUGCCUAAUACAUGCAAGUCGAGCGGACAGAUGGGAGCUUGCUCCCUGAUGUUAGCGGCGGACGGGUGAGUAACACGUGGGUAACCUGCCUGUAAGACUGGGAUAACUCCGGGAAACCGGGGCUAAUACCGGAUGGUUGUCUGAACCGCAUGGUUCAGACAUAAAAGGUGGCUUCGGCUACCACUUACAGAUGGACCCGCGGCGCAUUAGCUAGUUGGUGAGGUAACGGCUCACCAAGGCGACGAUGCGUAGCCGACCUGAGAGGGUGAUCGGCCACACUGGGACUGAGACACGGCCCAGACUCCUACGGGAGGCAGCAGUAGGGAAUCUUCCGCAAUGGACGAAAGUCUGACGGAGCAACGCCGCGUGAGUGAUGAAGGUUUUCGGAUCGUAAAGCUCUGUUGUUAGGGAAGAACAAGUGCCGUUCAAAUAGGGCGGCACCUUGACGGUACCUAACCAGAAAGCCACGGCUAACUACGUGCCAGCAGCCGCGGUAAUACGUAGGUGGCAAGCGUUGUCCGGAAUUAUUGGGCGUAAAGGGCUCGCAGGCGGUUUCUUAAGUCUGAUGUGAAAGCCCCCGGCUCAACCGGGGAGGGUCAUUGGAAACUGGGGAACUUGAGUGCAGAAGAGGAGAGUGGAAUUCCACGUGUAGCGGUGAAAUGCGUAGAGAUGUGGAGGAACACCAGUGGCGAAGGCGACUCUCUGGUCUGUAACUGACGCUGAGGAGCGAAAGCGUGGGGAGCGAACAGGAUUAGAUACCCUGGUAGUCCACGCCGUAAACGAUGAGUGCUAAGUGUUAGGGGGUUUCCGCCCCUUAGUGCUGCAGCUAACGCAUUAAGCACUCCGCCCUGGGAGACCGGCCGG
This 909-nucleotide ribosomal RNA is filed under the name Bacillus amyloliquefaciens. Its description in RNAcentral is "bacterial SSU rRNA". It matches the Rfam family "Bacterial small subunit ribosomal RNA", at positions 1 to 889 of the family's 1533-position model. The record is from RNAcentral. Lineage: Bacteria; Bacillati; Bacillota; Bacilli; Caryophanales; Bacillaceae.